GUGGGGAAUAUUGCACAAUGGGCGAAAGCCUGAUGCAGCGACGCCGCGUGGGGGAUGACGGUCUUCGGAUUGUAAACCCCUUUCAGUAGGGACGAAGCGCAAGUGACGGUACCUGCAGAAGAAGCACCGGCCAACUACGUGCCAGCAGCCGCGGUAAUACGUAGGGUGCGAGCGUUGUCCGGAAUUACUGGGCGUAAAGAGCUCGUAGGCGGUUUGUCGCGUCGUCCGUGAAAACUCGGAGCUUAACUCCGAGCUUGCGGGCGAUACGGGCAGACUUGAGUACUACAGGGGAGACUGGAAUUCCUGGUGUAGCGGUGAAAUGCGCAGAUAUCAGGAGGAACACCGGUGGCGAAGGCGGGUCUCUGGGUAGUAACUGACGCUGAGGAGCGAAAGCAUGGGUAGCGAACAGGAUUAGAAACCCUAGUAGUCC
RNAcentral lists this ribosomal RNA (430 nucleotides) under uncultured Dietzia sp. RNAcentral describes it as "bacterial SSU rRNA". It matches the Rfam family "Bacterial small subunit ribosomal RNA", at positions 354 to 796 of the family's 1533-position model. Lineage: Bacteria; Bacillati; Actinomycetota; Actinomycetes; Mycobacteriales; Dietziaceae. The record is from RNAcentral.